CCCCUCAGUAAAUUUUUUAAUAAUAGCAACAAAAGCAUGGAAAUUAGAAGAAUCAGGAUGUUUUCCGAAAACAGACUUGGCCCUUGCAAGCAGGUGUGGCUGCUACCAUUCAUCCGAAGUGGAACAUCCCCUGUCUGGCAGUGGUCACAGGGGAGAAGUGUCAUGGCUGGCCUGGCCGAACCAAACACAAAUGGGACAAAGCAAACAACAGCAGCUUCUCAGUAAAUAGGACAAAUGGGCACAACAAUCCUCCUGGUGCUGCUCAGAAGUCCAGUGAUUGUCUGCACACCCAAGCAGGACAUCCCGGGGCAUCCCAGCUAUAAACAUCCCUUAUGAUAUGGCCCCUUCUCCAAAAUCUGCAUAAGCAUAGUCUUCUUUCCCUGCUAGCUGCUACAACCUCUCCCAGAUUGUAGUCCCUGAUUUUAGUCUCUGUUCA
Fukomys damarensis (Damara mole-rat) is the source of this 436-nucleotide long non-coding RNA. RefSeq lists it as uncharacterized. NCBI's taxonomy places the organism in Eukaryota, Metazoa, Chordata, Mammalia, Rodentia, Bathyergidae. The record is from RefSeq and is a predicted model, not a curated record. The transcript is spliced from 3 exons.